Molecule: transfer RNA, 75 nt
Filed under: Pyrinomonadaceae bacterium
Lineage: Bacteria; Pseudomonadati; Acidobacteriota; Blastocatellia; Blastocatellales; Pyrinomonadaceae
Description: tRNA-Arg
Rfam family: tRNA
About the family: Transfer RNA (tRNA) molecules are approximately 80 nucleotides in length. Their secondary structure includes four short double-helical elements and three loops (D, anti-codon, and T loops). Further hydrogen bonds mediate the characteristic L-shaped molecular structure. tRNAs have two regions of fundamental functional importance: the anti-codon, which is responsible for specific mRNA codon recognition, and the 3' end, to which the tRNAs corresponding amino acid is attached (by aminoacyl-tRNA synthetases). tRNAs cope with the degeneracy of the genetic code in two manners: having more than one tRNA (with a specific anti-codon) for a particular amino acid; and 'wobble' base-pairing, i.e. permitting non-standard base-pairing at the 3rd anti-codon position.
Source: RNAcentral
GCGCCCGUAGCUCAGUCUGGAUAGAGCGCAUGCCUCCGAAGCAUGAGGUCACAGGUUCGAAUCCUGUCGGGCGUA